RNAcentral lists this long non-coding RNA (572 nucleotides) under Numida meleagris (helmeted guineafowl). RNAcentral's name for it is "lncRNA (ENSNMEG00000006844.1)". The record is from RNAcentral. Lineage: Eukaryota; Metazoa; Chordata; Aves; Galliformes; Numididae.
AUGCAGUACCUUCCAUCCCAUUAUAGGGUGGCAGCCAAAGUUGCUGAAUCUGAUUCUUUGGUCCUUCAACAUCUGCACAAUUUGUGCUCUUGUGCAAGCUACCUGCAGUGGGUUACACAUGUUGAGCUUACCGGACACAAAGAAGUGUGCUACGCAACAGAAAAAACACAAUGCAGAUGUUACCUUUUCUAUCCAGUGAAACAAUUGCAUGCAGUAUAUGAGGAUGCAAGGAAUGUGACAGCGUAUAUGCUUCUGUGACCCAGUAGCCAUGGCAACUACAGUGCAAAGACACAUUAUCCUGGUGCUCAAUUCCAUCAGCAGCAGAACUGCAGUUAUUUAUGCUGGCCCCUUAACCAAAGAAUGAAAAGCUGCAUUUCAGUUCUGCAUUACAGUUUUAGUGGCUGCACAGUUUCACAGGGAAGAGACUGUGACUGCACCUUCUACGAUGAGAAACAGAAGAAAAACAUUUCACUGACAGGAACCAUUUAUUUGUCUUUCAUGGUAAUGUGGACCUGUCAAAUCUCAUGUGCUGAGUAUCAGACUUGCUCUUUUUGCCACUGCUAUCUCAUUCC